RNAcentral lists this long non-coding RNA (230 nucleotides) under Elaeis guineensis (African oil palm). RNAcentral's name for it is "long non-coding RNA (EGUI_LNC015063)". Lineage: Eukaryota; Viridiplantae; Streptophyta; Magnoliopsida; Arecales; Arecaceae. The record is from RNAcentral.
GCAUUUUAAAAAAAAUUUAUACUUAAUAUUAUUGCUUGAUUUAUGCUGGCUAAAAAAAUUUCGAAAUUCACAUGAUAGUCUAUCAUGAGUAGAUAAAGGAGAACACAACGACAUAUCUUUUCAAAUAAAAUAAAAAAUAAUAAAUAUAUUUCGUCCAAUAAAACAAGCCUAACAAUCUAAUUCUUCAAACUCAUCACAGCACUUCCGCCGUUAUUGAUAAAUUGAGGGCC